UCAACAUUCAAAACUGACCAAGGAACCCCACUAGCUAGACAUGUGUAGUGAUUACCAGCAAACCUCACGCCAGGCUCACUCAGGACUGGCUACCCCCAGGAUGGAGGGGUGGCAUGCCAGUAAGGAACCUGGCCUCAGCAGCAAGUUGUUUUUUUCUGCAAGUAUCGUGUAUUUCUUCUCCAACCAAUUUUGUUCCCCUUGGUUCCUGGGAACCAUUAUACCAUUAGGUUAAUGGACCAUUGGUUUAUCCACCUGUAUGUUGCCUGAAUUUUGGCCAUUCAACCAUGCAUUCCUGGUGAUUGGGUUUACAAGUACUAGUCUCCUAAGUCCAGCAUCAUGUUCAGAUAUCUCGUGACGAUAAAUUGGUGUAGUAACCAUGGUAUGUCAGCAAAGAGAUGGCCCCACUCAUUAAAAAUAUGUUGGUAUUGGAGGCUUCAAAAAUUUGUAUAUUUGUUACUGAUAUAUAGAACAAAUAAAUGGCCAAAUACAAAAUUGUGCAGAACCCAGAUUAUCUAGUAUCUAAUAAAGAAUUAAUAAAGAAUAUGUAUUAAUGUAGAUAUCUUUAUUUACAUAUUAAUGGCUUUUUUCAAAUUGGCCAAAUUUUUCAAAACAAUUACAUAUUAAAAAUUGAGAUAUAUGGAAAUUCUAACAAUAGAUUUAUAGUCAUUCUUGGGGUGGGCAUUAACACUUUUUGGUAACUUCUGUAAGUUAAUUAUAGUUUAACUUCUUAAUUAAUUAAUUCUGUAUGUUAAUUUAUAGUUUAACUUCCUAGACACUUUGGUGUCUUUUUUUACCCUCACUUUAAAAUACACACAAUAGUUUAAAUAUAUCACAUUUGGUCAACAGUUCAAAUUAUUUUAUUAUUUAAAGCAUGUAGAAAAAAUAUAAUAGUUAAAAUUCCAGUGAAAAAUUCUAAUACAGAGGAAUCACAUGGCUAUAUUUGGAAAGAUAAUAUUUCUUUAAAAAUGUGUUGUUUUUUGUUUUAUGUUUGCGAUAAGCAUUACUGAAGUUUGAUUGAAGAACUUCAUGAUUUUUAUGUUUUACUUUCUUGUAUUGAGAAAUAGUGGUCCAUUGUUGGGCUGUAUUUAAAAUUAAUGUGUAUAAAACAAGAAAUAUUUAAUUAGAGUUAUUAAUUUUCCACAUUUAAUAUGUGUAUUUGACCUAAAUCAGUAUCUUUUAUCAUAUCAGCCUCACAUUUAACAAGAAUAAUCACAAGGACAACAACAAAUUUGAAUGUUUCCUUUGUGCCUAUGCUCCUAUCAUGUUCUAUUCAUUCUUAUAAAUCUAACAACUAACAAUUAAUUUGAAGUUAGACACACAGGAUUUACUCAUCAGUAUUAGAGCAUUCACUGCUAGCCAAGAAGGUUACUAUCCCUGGUGCUGAAACUGCUCUGUGUAGUCCUUGUGGUUGAAGAAUUAAAACAGUUUCUCUUAGACAUUUCCUUUCAUUGAAAUUAUGAAUUGGAUAAAUGUUCAUACCUUAAAGGAAGUAUUAAAUUUCACAUAUGUUAACAUCUUAAUUAAUGUAAGAUUAAUAUUCUACUUAUGACUAUGUUUUAGUAUUGAAAAAUGAGUUUCUGAUGAGUUUCAUUAGUUUCUAGAGAAAACAAUGGUUUAAAAAAUUUCAGUACAUAAGACAUUGAGGAGUCUAUGAAUGUUCCAGAAACCUGAAAACAUAUACCACUAAUCAAAGUUUCUCCAUUCAUGUUGACUAGCAUUUGCCUUAGGUGUCAGAAUUAAUGGAUUUGUGUUAAAAAUAAACGCCUGAAAUCUAAUUCCCUAGCUGCAUUAUAACACACUAGAUUACAAGUACUAAGCUUUUAUUUAAUGCUUAUAAUGGCUUUAAAUUGUAGCAAAAUGGGCUUCCCCCAAGAGGACUGCUUUGUUGAUCCUAAGGUGGGGUCAUAAGCCAGAAGUUAACUAUGCUUUCAUAUAUUCUUGAAAGUAGAAGUACAGUGUUGGUGUAAAUUCUCCUUAGAUGGGUAGGUAAGCCCAGAGGAAAUAAUGGUAAUUGGCACCAUAUGACCAUAUGCAAUUCAUAUGCAUAUUUAUAUCAAGAAAAGAACAUUAUAGGUCUGGUGAGACCCUAUUUUUUUCUGACAGUGUCAUCUGUAUUUACGUGUCUAUUUCGGGAAUUUGGAAGUCAAGGGAUUCUAUGCUGGAUUGUGAAGCGUCUGUUUCUGCUUGAUGUAGCUACUCAAUUUUGUAUUCUUGACUAAUAAAGUCAUAAACAUAAUGCAA
Molecule: long non-coding RNA, 2241 nt
Filed under: Pan troglodytes (chimpanzee)
Lineage: Eukaryota; Metazoa; Chordata; Mammalia; Primates; Hominidae
Description: lincRNA
Source: RNAcentral